GCAGCCUAUGAAGUACAGAAUAGAACUGGCUGAAUGAAAAGUAUUUACGAUGGGAAGAAAUGCCUAAUGUCUGUCUUUGGGGCACAAAAUAGUUAACUUGUAACAGUAACAGUUUAUCUUAUGGCCUACAUAAGGCACAAUGCAUUGUCUUGCAUUUGAUAUAGAAUGAAAGACCAAAUUAUCAGCCUUCAAAAUAUGGCACAGAGGAUACAGAAUUCAAAACAAGAUGGACAUGUAGUACCUAACCAAAGCUUAUCAAAUUCUCCAGCAAAAAUCAUGUAGAAAUAUUACUGGGAAGAGAAAUAAGUUAGCUAGAGGUCAGGUUUGAAACUGGAUAUUAAAUCAGACGAAUGUUUCUGGCCUGAAAGAGGUUCAGGAACACUUUCAAAAUUGAGGAGUAAAAGAUACAUAUUUUAGGAGUAAAAAUGUAUUUUGCCACAAUUAAAAAAAAUUUUUAAAAAGACCAUUGUGAUAUAUGUGGCUGAAAAAGAUGAAGUCUGUGAAUUGCUAAACAACAAAAUUACAAGAGUAGACAUACUCAGUGACUUUUUACCAGGGAAAUGCUGUCACUGGGCUAGGUUCUCUGGAGUUGUACCUGAACAAUUCCAAAGAACUUCCUAAAGGUUGACAUAGAUAGUAUGCAUAUUUAUACAUAUAUGUGUGUGUAUAUAUAUAUAUAUAUAUAUAUAUGCAAGAAAAUUUUUAGUCAAAAUCAAUAAUUUCAUUUUAAUUUAUUCAGCUCUUAGACGUGUGUAUUUAAACCUGAGUGUAGUCAAUUAGAAAAAUAAAGUUUUUUCUGAUUAUUUCUAAUUUGUAAAAAUUUAAGGAGUACAAGUAUAUUUUGUUACAUGGCUAUAGUGUGUAGUGGUGAAGUCAGGACUUCUAGUGUACUACCCAUUAUUGGAAUACUGCACAUUGUGCAUUAUGUAAUUUCUCAUCCCUGCCCCUCUGUACCCCCAGCAUGCUUCUGAGUUCCAGCAUCUAUCACUCCACACUACACCUCCAUAUGUACACAUUAUUUAGCUCCCACAUAUCAGUGAGAUCACAUGGUUUUUGCUUUUGUGUCCGAGUUGUUUCUCUUAAGAUAAUGGCCUCCAGUUCUGUCGUGUUGCUGUAAAAGACAGGAUUUCAUUCUUUUUUAUGGCUGGAUAGUAUUUCUUUGUGCAUAGAGACCACAUUUUCUUGAUCCAGUCAUCCAUCAAUGGACACUUCCGUUGAAUCCACAUCUUUGCUAUUGUAAAUAGUGCUGCAGGAAACAUAGGAGUGGGGCUAUUGUUUUGAUUUAAUGAUUUCUGUUCCUUUGUUUAGACUGCUGGAUCAAAGAGUAGUUCUAUUUUUACUUUUUUGAGAAAUCUUAAUUCUGUUUUCCAUGGAGGUUGUGUUAAUUUACAUACCCACCAACAGUGUAUAAGCAUGUCUUUAACCCACUUUUUUUUCUUCCAACUUUUAGGUUCAAGGGGCAUGCAGGAUUGUAAUAUGGGUAAAUUGCAUGUCACGGAGGUUUGGUGUACGGAUUUUUUUUGUCACACACGUAAUAAGCAUACUUUCUCCAGUGUAUGUUCUUAUCAGUUUUGUCAAAGAUCAGUUAGCUGUAUGUGGGUUUAUUUCUAGGCUCUCUAUUCUGUUCCACUGAUUGUGUCUCAUUUUAUACUAGUACCAUUGAUGCUUUGGUUACUAUGGUCUUAUGGUAUAAUUUGAAGUCAGAUGAUGUAGUUCUGCCAGCUUUGUUCUUUUUGCUUAGGAUUGCUUUGGCUAUUUGGGCUUUUGUGUUGCAUAUGAAUUUUAGGAUUGUUCUAAUUCUGUGAAAAAUGAAAUUGGUAUUUUGAUAGGGGUUGUAUUGAAUCUGUAGAUUCCUUUGGGCACUAUGGUCGUUUUAACAGUACUAAUACUUCCAGUCCAUGAGCAUAUAAUGUCUUUACCUUUGUGCGUGUGAUCUAUGGUUUCUUUCAUCAGUGUUUUGUAGUUUUCCUUACAGAGAUCUUUUACCUCCUUGGUUAAAUACAUUCCUAGGUCCUUUUUUCUUUUUUUGUAUCUUUUAUAAAUGGAAUUACCUUCUUGGUUUGGUUCUCAGCUAUAUCAUUGUUAGUGUGUAGAAAUGCUACUGAUUUCUAUACCUUGAUUUUGUAUCCUGAAACUCUGCUAAAUUCAUUUAUCCAAUCUAAGAUUUUUUUUGGUGGAGUCCUUAGGGUUUUCUAGAUUAAGAUCACAGAUAAUUUGACUUCCUCUUUUCCUGUUUGAAAGACUUGUAUUUAUUUCUCUUGCCUGACUGCUGUGGUUAGGACUUCCAGUACUGUGUUGAAUAGAAGUGAAGAAAGUGGGCAUCCUUGUCUUACUUAAAUUCUUAGAGGGAAUGCCUUCAGCUUUCACCCCAUUCAGUAUGAUGUUGGCUGUGGGUUUGUCAUAGAUGGCAUUUAUUAUUUUGAGUUAUGUUCCUUCUAUGCCUAGUUGAUGAAGGAUUUUGUUAUGAAGGAAUACUGAAUUUUAUCACAUUGCUUUUCUACAUCUAUUGAGACGAUUAUAUUAUUUUUGUCCUUAAUUCUGUUUAUGUGAUGUAUCAUAUGUAUUGAGUUGCAUAUACUGAACUAUUCAUUCAUCCCUGGCAUAAAACCCCCUUGAUCAUGGUGUAUUAUCUUUCUGAUGUGCUGCUGGACUCAAUUUGCUAGUAUUUUGCUGAAGAUUUUUGUUUCUAUGGUCUGUGUUCAUCAGGAAUAUCCAUCUAUUGUUUUCUUUUUUGUGUUGUGUCCGUGUCUGGUUUUGAUAUCAAUGUUAUACCGGCCUUACAGAAUGAGUUAGGGAGAAUUCCCUCCUCCUCAAUGUUUUGUAACAGUUUCAGGAGUAUUUGUAUUAGUUCUUCUUGGUAUGCUUGGUAGAAUUUGGCUGUUACUACAUUUUCUCUUGGGCUUUUUUGUUGUUGUUAGGACAUUUUUUAUUAUUAUGGAUUCAUUCUUGCUAUUUACAUUAUUGGUUUGUUCAGGAUUUUUGUUUCUUCCUGGUUCAACCUGGGAGGUUGUAUUAUGUUUCCAGAAAUUUAUCUGUUUCCAGGAAUCCAUUUCCUCUAGGUUUUCUAAUUUAUAAGGUAGUAUAGUCUCUGAUGACCUUUCCUAUUUCUGUAGUUCAGUUGUAAUGUCUCAUUUAUUUCUGAUUUGGUUUGUUUAGAUCUCUGUUCUUGACUAGCUAGUAUAUCAAUUUUGUCUUUCAAAGAACAAUUUCCUUGAUCAUUUGUAAAUGUUUUUGCCUCCAUUUAUUUUGUUUUGCUCUGAUCUCCUACUGUUUUUGUUCUGCUAACUUUGGUUUUUUUUUUUUUUUUCUUAAUUCCUUGAGGUGCAGUGUUAGAUUGUUAAUUGAUGAUCAUUCUACAUUUUUUAUAUAGGUAUUUAAUGGUAUAAACUUCCUUUUUAGCAGUGCUUUUGCUCUAUUCCACAGGUUUUGGUAUGUAGAAUUUGGCUGUUACUGUAUCUUAUCCUUAUCAUUCAUUUCAAAAUUUUUUUAAAUUUCCAUCCUGAUUUUUGCUGACCCAGUGAUCAUUUAGGAGCAUAUCAUUUGAUUUCCAUGUUUCUAAGGUGCCCAGAGUUUCUCUGGGCAUUGAUUCCCAGUUUUUUACUGGACUGUGGUGUGAGAAGAUUUUUAUUUAUUUAUUUUUUCAAGACUUGUUUUCUGGCCUAAUAUAUGGUUUAUCUGGGAGAAUUUUCCAUGUGCUUAUGAAAAGAAUAUAUAUUAUGCAGUCGUUGGGUAGAGUGUUCUGUAAAUGUCUGUUACAUGUCCAUUUGGUCUAAAGUCCGAUUUAAGUCCAAUGUUUGCUUGUUGACUUACUGUCUUGAUAAUCUGCCUAGUGCUGUCAGUGGGGUGUUUACCUACCAUUAUUGUAUUGCUGUCUAAUUCUUUCUUUCAGUCUAGUAAUAAUUGUUUUAUGAAUCUAGGUGCUGCAGUGUCGUGUGCAUAUAUAUCCUUUAUCGCUAUAUAAUAACCUUCUUUGUCUUUUACUGUUUUGACUUAAUAUCUGUUUUAUCUGAUAUAAGUAACACUACUCCUGUUUGCUUUUGGUUUCUGUGGAAUACCUUUUCCACCCUUUUCAGUAUAUGGGUGUCUUUACAGAUAAGGUGAGUUUCAUAUAAGCAGCAUAUAGUUGAAUCACAUUUUUAAUACUUUCCACUGUCUAUGUUUUACUUGGGUCAUUUGAUCCACUUACAUUCAAAACUAAUAUUGAUAUAUAUGGUUUUGUUCCUGUCAUAUUUUCAAUUAUUACCUAGUUGGUUUAUACAUUUUUUUUUCUCUGUGUGGUUGUCUGUGUUUUGGUGGAAUUCUUUUGUGUUGCCAGUGAUUCCUUUCCUUCCUUCUUUGUGUGUUUGCUUUAUAAGACCUUUGAGUUCUAUAUCUGUUUUUAUGAUGGUGAAUACUGACAUUUUGUUUCCAUUUUAAAACUCCUUGGAGCAUUUCCUAUAGGACUGGUCUAGUGGUGUUGAAUUCCCUUAGUAUUUGCUUAGCUGGGUAUUCUUUCUUAAUGAAGCUUAUUCUUGCUGGAUAUAAAAUUGGGGAUUGACAGGUGUCGUGUUUUGUUUUGUUUGUUUUUGUUUUUCCUUUUAGCUUUGAAAAUUCUAUACCAUUCUUUUCUGUCCUGUAAGAUUUCUGCUGAAAAAUCUGCUGUUACUCUGAUGGGAUUUCCUUUAUAGGUGACUAGAUGCUUUUCUCUUGCUAAUUUUAACUUUUCUUUUGCAGUUUCACUUUGACUGUAGACAUUCUGAUUACAACACAUCAUGAUGAGGUAUUUUUUGAAAUGUAUUUUCCUGGGAUUGCUGAGCCUUUCAUAUCUGGAUGCCUGUCUCACUAGACUUAAGAUGUUUUCAUCAAUUAUUUCCUUAAACAGGCUUUCUAAACUUUUUUCUCUCUCUUACCCCUCAGGCGUAACUGAUAAUUUGUAAGUUCAGUCACCAAACAUCUUGAAGGCUUUAUUCAUUUUUUUAAAAUAUAUAUACUUCAGGUUUUUUGGUACAUGUGCAGAAUGUGCAGGUUUGUUAGAUAGGUAUACACGUGCCAUGGUGGUUUGCUGCAUCCAUCAGCCCGUCAUUUACAUUAGGUAUUUCUCCUAAUACUGUCCCUCCCCUUGCCCCCCACCCUCCAACAGGCCCCGGUGUGUGAUGUUCCCCUCCCUGUUUCUAUGUGUUCUCAUUGCUCAGCUCCAUUUUAUGAGUGAGAACAUGCACCGUUUUGUUUUCUGUUCCUAUGUUAGUUUGCUGAGAAUGAUGGUUUCCAGCUCUCUUUUGGUUUCAUAUGAAGUUUAAGGUAGUUUUUUCCAAUUCUGUGAAGAAAGUCAGUGGUGAUUUGAUGGGGAUAGCAUUGAAUCUAUAAAUUACUUUGGGCAGUAUGGCCAUUUUCACAGUAUUGAUUCUUCCUGGUUUUUUUGGAAAAACUUCCAUGGAUGUUUUCCAUCUGUUUGUGUCCUCUUUUAUUUCCUUGAGGAGUGGAUUGUAGUUGUCCUUGAAAAGGCCCUGCACAUCCCUUGUUAGUUGUAUUCCUAGGUAUUUUAUUUUCUUUGUAGCAGUUGUUUAUGGGUCAAAUGGUAUUUCUAUUUCUAGAUCCUUGAGGAAUCGCCACAGUUUUCCACAAUGGUUGGGCUGAUUUACACUCCCGUCAACAGUGUAGAAGUGUUCCUAUUUCUCCACAUCCUCUUCAGCAUGUUGUCUCCAGAUUUUUUAAAUGAUCACCACUCUAACUGGCAUAGAGGGUAUCUCAAUGUGGUUUUGAUUUGCAUUUCUCUAAUGACCAGUGAUGAGCAUAUUUUCAUGUUUCUUGGCCAUAUAAAUGUAUUAUUUUGAAAAUUUUCUGGUCAUAUCUUUCACCCACUUUUUGAUUUGUUUUUUUUCUUGUAAAUUUGUUUAAAUUUUUUAUAGAUUCUGGAUAUUAGCCCUUUGUCAGAUAGGUAGCUUGCAAAAAUAUUUUCCCAUUAUGUUGGUUGCCAGUUCACUCUAAUGAUUGUUUCUUUUGGUGUGCAGAAGCUCUUAGCUCUUAAGUUUAAUUAGAUCCCAUCUAUUUUGACUUUUGUUGCUAUUGCUUUUGAUGUUUUAGUCAUGAAGUCCUUCUCUAUGUGUAUGUCCUGAAUGAUAUUGCCUAGGUUUUCUUCUAGGGUUUCUAUGGUGUUAGGUCUUAUGUUUAAUCCAUCAGGAGUUAAUUUUUGUGUAAGGUGUAAGGAAGGGAUUCAGUUUUAGUUUCUGCACAUGGCUAGCCAGUUUUCCCAACACCAUUUAUUAAAUAAGAACUCCUUUCCCCAUUACUUUUGUCAGGUUUGUCGAAGAUCAGAUAGGUUGUAGACGUGUGGCGUUAUUUCCGAGGUCUCUGUUCUGUUCCAUUGGUCUGUAUAUCUGUUUUGGUUCCAGUACCAUGCUGUUUUGAUUACUGUAGCUUUGUAGUAUAGUUUGAAGUCAGGUAGUGUGAUGCCUCCAGCUUUGUUCUUUUUGCUUAGGAUUGCCUUGGCUGUGUGGGCUCUUUUUUUUUUUUUUUUUUUUUUUGAGACGGAGUUUCGCUCUUGGUACCCAGGCUGGAGUGCAAUGGCGCAAUCUCGGCUCACUGCAAACUCCACCUCCUGGGUUCAGGCAAUUCUCCUGCCUCAGCCUCCUGAGUAGCUGGGAUUACAGGCACGCGCCACCAUGCUCUUUUUUUUUUCCAUACGAAGUUUAAGGUGUUUUUUUCCAGUUCUGUGAAUAAGGUCAAUGGUAGCUUGAUGUGGAUAACACUGAAUCUAUAAAUUACUUUGGGCAGUAUGGCCAUUUUCAUGAUAUUGAUUCUUCGUAACCAGGAGCAUGGAAUGUUUCUCCAUCUGUUUGCGUUCUCUCUUAUUUCCUUGAGCAGUGGUUUGUUGUUCUCCUGGAAGAGGUCCCUUCACAUCCCCUGUUAGUUGUAUUCCUAGGUAUUUUAUUCUCUUUGUAGUAAUUUUAAUUUGGAGUUCACUCAUGAUUUGGCUCUCUGCUACUGGUAUAUAGGAAUGCUUCUGAUUUUUGCACAUUGAUUUUGUAUCCUAAGACUUUGCUGAAAUUGCUUAUCAUUUUAAGGAGAUUGUGGGCUGAGAUGAUUGGGUCUCGUAAAUUCCCAUCAUGUCAUCUGCAAAUAGAGACAGUUUGACUUUCUCUUUCCUAACUGCAUGCCCUUUAUUUCUUUUUCUUGCCUGAUGGCUCUGGCUUGAACUUCCCAUACUAUGUUGAAUAGGAAUGGUGAGAGAGGGCACCCUUGUCUAGUGCCAGUUUUCAAAGGGAAUGCUUCUGAUUUUGCCCAUUCGGUAUCAUAUUGGCUGUGGGUUUGUUACAGUUUUUAUUAUUUUGAGAUACAUUCCAUCGAUAGUUAUCUUGAGAGUUUUUAGCAUAAAGGACUGUUGAAUUUUGUCAAAGCCUUCUCUGCAUCUGUUGAGAUAAAUGUGUUUUUUGUCUUUGGUUCUCUUUAUGUGGUGGAUUACGUUUAUAGAUUUGAAUAUGUUGAACCAGGCUUGCAUCCCAAGGAUGAAGCCUACUUGAUAAUGAUAGAUAAGCUUUUUGAUAUGUCAUUGUAUUUGGUUUCCCAGUAUUUUAUCAAAUCGUGGAUAUUGGCCUGAAGUUUUCUUUUUUAGUUGUUUUUCUGCCAGGUUUUGGUAUCAGGAUGAUGAUGGUCUCAUAAAAUGAGUUAGGGAGGAUUCCCUCUUUUUGUAUUGUUUGGAAUAGUUUCAGAAAGCAUGGUACCAGCUCCUAUUUGUACAUCUGGUAGAAUUCAGCUGUGAACCUGUCUGGACCUGGAAUUUUUUUGGUUUGUAGGCUAUUAAUUGCUGCCUGUACUUCAGACCUUGUUAUUGGUCUAUUCAAGGAUUCAGCUUCUUUCUAGUUUAGUCUUGGGAGGGUGUAAGUGUCCAGGAAUUUAUCCAUUUCUUCUAGACUUACUGGUUUAUGUGCGUAGAGUUGUUUAUAGUAGUCUCUGAUGGUAGUUUAUAUUUCUGUGGAAUUGGUGGUGAUAUCCCCUUUAUCAUUUUUUAUUGCAUCUAUUCAAUUCUUAUCUCUUUUCUUUUUAUUAUUCUGGCUAACAGUCUAUUUUGUUGAUCUUUUCAAAAAACCAGCUCCUGGACUUGUUGAUUUUUUUUUUUGAAGGUUUUUUUGUGUCUCUGUCUCCUUCAGUUCUGCUCUGAUCUUAGUUAUUUCUUGUCUUCUGCUAGCCUUUGAAUUUGUUUGAUCUUGCUCCUCUGGUUUUUCAGUUGUGACAAUAGGGUGUCAAUUUUAGAUCUUUCCUCACUUCUCAUGUGGGCAUUUAGUGCUAUAAAUUUCCCUUUAGACACUGCUUUAAAUGUGUCCCAGAGAUUCUGGUACGUUGUGUCUUCAUUCUCAGAUGUUUCAAAGAACAUCUUUAUUUCUGCCUUCGUUUUGUUCUGUAUCCAGUAGUCAUUCAGGAGCAGGUUUUUCAGUUUCCAUGUAGUUGUGUGGUUUUGAGUGAGUUUCUUAAUCUUGACUUCUAAUUUGAUAGCACUGUGGUCUGAAAGAUUGUUUGUUAUGAUUUCCAUUCUUUUACAUUUGCUGAGGAGUGAUUUACUUCCAAUUAUCUGGUCAAUUUUAGAGUAAGUGUGAUGUGGUGCUGAGAAGACUAUAUUUUGUGGAUUUGGGGUGGAGAGUUCUGUAGAUGUCUGUUAGGUCUGCUUCGUCCAGAGUGCAAGUGCUGGAUAUCCUUGUUAAUUUUCUGUCUCGUUGAUCUGUCUGAUAUUGACAGUGGGGUGUUAAAGUCUCCCACUAUUAUUGUGUGGGAGUCUAAGUCUCUUUGUAUGUGGUUAAGAACUUACUUUACGUAUCUGGGUGCUCCUGUAUUAGGUGCAUAUAUAUUUAGGAUAGUUAGCUCUUCUUGUUGCAUUGGUCCCUUUACCAUUAUGUAAUGCCCUUCUUUGUCUCUUUGAUCUUUGUUGGUUUAAAGUUCAUUUUAUGAGAGACUAGGAUUACAACGCAGCUUUUUUUUUUUUUUUUUUUUUUGCUCUCCUUUUGCUUGGUAAAUCUUCCUCCAUCCCUUUAUUUUAAGCCUAUGUGUGUCUUUGCAUGUGAGAUUGGUCCCCUGAAAACAGCUACAUCGAUGGGUCUUGACUUUGUAACCAAUUUGCCAGUCUGUAUCUUUUGAUUGGGGCAUUUAGCCCAUUUACACUUAAGGUUAACAUUGUUAUGUGUGAAUUUGAUCCUGUAUUUUGAUGCUAGCUGGUUGUCUUGCCUGUUAGUUGCAGUUUCUUCACUGCGUUGAUGCUCUUUACCAUUUGGUAUGUUUUUGGAGUGGCUGGUACUGGUUGUUCUUUCCAUGUUUAGAGCUUCCUUCAGGAGCUCUUGUAAGGCAGCCCUGGUAGUAAUGAUACCUCUCAGCAAUUGCUUGUCCAUAAAGGAUUUUAUUUCCUUUUCACUUAUGAAGUUUAAUUUGGCUGGAUAUGAAAUUCUGAGUUGAAAGUUCUUUUCUUUAAGCAUGUUGAAUAUUGGCCCCCACUCUCUUCUGGCUUGUGGGGUUUCUGCUGAGAGAUCUGCUGUGAGUCUGAUGGGCUUCCCUUGGUGGGUAACCUGACCUUUCUCUCUGGCUGCCCUUAGCAUUUUUUCCUUCAUUUCAACCCUGGUGAAUCUGAUGAUUAUAUACCUUGGGGUUGCUCUUCUUGAGGAAUAUCUUUGUGGUGUCCUCUGUAUUUCUUGAAUUUGAAUGUUGACUGGCCUUGCUAGAUUGGGGAAGUUCUUCUGGGUAUAUAUUUUGAAGAGUGUUUUCCAGCUUGGAUUCAUUCUCCCUGUCACAUUCAGGUACAAACAGAGAUUAGGUCUUUUCACAUAAUCCUGUAUUUCUUGGAGGCUUUGUUCAUUUCUUUUCACUCUUUUUUCUCUAAUCUUGCCUCAUUUUAUUUCACUGAGUUGAUCUUCAGUCUCUGAUACCCUUUUUUCUGCUCGAUUGAUUUGGCUAUUGAAACUUGUGUAUGCUUCGCAAAGUUCUCAUGCUAUGUUUUUCAGCUCUAUCAGGUCGUUUAUGUUCUUCUCUAAGCUGGUUAUUCUAGAUAGCAUUUAAUCUAAGCUUUUCUCAAGGUUCUUGGUUUCUUUGCAUUGGGUUAGAACAUGUACCUUUAGAUCAAAGAAGUUUGUCAUUACCCACCUUCUGAAGCCUGCUUCUGUCAGUUUGUCAGACUCAUUCUCCAGUUUUGUUCCCUUGCUGGUGAGGAGUUGUAACCCCUUGGAGAAGUAAAGACAUUCUGGUUUUUGGUAUUUCAUCAUUUUUGUGCUUGUUUCUUCCAUCUUCAUGAAUUUAUCUACCUUUGGUCUUUGAAGUUGGUGACUUUUGGAUGGGGUCCUUCAGUGGACUUCCUUUUUGUUGAUGCUGAAGCUGUUUGUUUUUUACUUUUCCUUCUGACAGGCCCCUCUGCUGCAGGACUGCUAGAGGUCCACUUCAGACCCUGCCUGCCUGGGAAUCACCUGCAGGGGCUGCAGAACUGCGAGGUUUACUGCCUGUUCUUUCCUCUGGUAUCUUCGUCCCAGAAGUGUACCCAUCAGAUGUCAGCCAGACCUCUCCUGUAUCAGAGAUGCCCUGCCAGCAAGGAGGAAGUCUAGUCACAGUCUGCCUGCAGAGGUGCUGCUGAGCUGCCACAGGCUCCGUCCAGCUGCUGUGUAAACUUCCUCCAGAUUUUGUUUACACAGGGAAAGAACUUCUUCUGCCUUACUGUGAAGCAUUUCUCGGGCACGCUUAACUUCAAGUUUUAAAAGAUUGUCCUCUAUCAUUAAAUCCUAACAGCGUAACAAAAUGGUCAAAUAUUGAAAUUAUUUUUUAUCACAAAACCACAAUAUUUUUCUUUUUACUAUUACAUAAGUCAAACUUGAAAAUAUAACUUUUUCUAACUUAACCAUUGACCAAGAUAUUAACUAGGGCUGAAUUUAAAUUGUUCAGAGUCAUAGGUUUUUUUUCUUUUAAGAAAAGGGUUUAUGGUUAUUUCAAAUCUUUUUUAUAAUUCAAUGUUAAAGUCAAGCUUUGCUAUUAUAAAAAACAAAAGGAAGAAGUUAUUCCUGAAAUUAAACUUAUACUAUCUAGAAAACAUGAAGUCCUUAUGAAUGGCCAUUUUUAUACUCUGAAGCUCACAAAA
This is a long non-coding RNA of Callithrix jacchus (white-tufted-ear marmoset), 11074 nucleotides long. RefSeq lists it as uncharacterized. Lineage: Eukaryota; Metazoa; Chordata; Mammalia; Primates; Cebidae. The record is from RefSeq and is a predicted model, not a curated record.